GUGUUCACUUUGGCAGCACAAAUACUAAAUUUGGAAUGUACAGAGAAGAUUAGCAUGGCCCCUGUGCAAGGAUGACACACAAAUUUCUGAAGCAUUCCAUAUUUUU
Molecule: small nuclear RNA, 106 nt
Organism: Bubalus bubalis (water buffalo)
Lineage: Eukaryota; Metazoa; Chordata; Mammalia; Artiodactyla; Bovidae
Source: RefSeq, a predicted model, not a curated record